UAGCGGAGCUAGAGCCAUAACCCGUACCACUACCAGACCCAUGACCAUUGGAUGGCCAGUAACCACCAGCUUGUCCGGCACCGCCACCAGCACCAGCGCCGCCAGCACUGGAUGAACCGCCAUAACCAUAAUAUCCAUUUUGAGAGGUCUGGCUAGAGCCUGAGCCCGAGCCAUAUCCGCUACCAGAUCCCGAUCCACCGUAUUGGCUGUAACCACCACCUCCGCCUCCUCCUCCGCCACUAGCAUGAGCACCAUAAUAGUUGCUGCUACCGGACCCAGCCCCAAUUCCUUUCCCCGCUCCCCCACCGUUCACAUAUCCUCCUCCCUCUCCACCUCCUGUGCCAGAACCUUGGGAACUAGAAUAUCUUUCUACUCUUGCAGCACUGGCUAGUCCAAUGCUUAAAAGAACAACGAAACCAAGAGCUGCAAGCUUAGUGCGUGCCAUUGUUAGCUAACUCUAUGAGUGCAGGAAAUGGUGAGUGUUGGGUGCAGGACUGCAUGGGUAUUUAUAGUGCUUGAGGCCAUAUGCAACAAUAGUUUCUUAACAGCACACACGUUAGUCUUUUAGUUGGCAUCUUCAUUAAGUAGGGAUCAAGUUGAGGCCUUAAAGAACUGUUUACCAAAGAGACAAAGCUCAUGUACUUACAGAAGUAAUUAGCACUAGCUUCUAUGCUCUAAAUAAGUCCUAAUGUUCUAAACAAUAGGGUCUUUAAAUCAAGAGCGCUACUAGCUCCUCGAUAGAUCAAAAUUUUGUUCUUUCACUGUUCUUGGCCUGUGAAAAUUCACAGUAUUGAUGGCAUGUUUGGUAAGGCUUCAACUUCUAAAUUUAACUCUAAGAGCUACGUUCAGAGUGGAGUUGUGGAGCAACAUAAACCUAGCUCUAUCUUUCUAGUUCAUUUUGUGAUAGCGAUAGCUCCAGCCAGCUCCACUCCUAUUUUAUGUGGAGCUGAAACUUAGGCUGAGCUAGAGCUCUACCAAAUAGGCCCUAUGUUUACCUAAUGAUGAGCAUAUUAACAUCUGGAUCGUCUAGGAGAGAAGAGUUACUAGAUAUAUCAUAAAAUAAAAGAUGCAAUAUCAAUAACAUAAAUAUCAACAAAGAAUUAUUAUUACCUUUUUGUUUGAAUCACCUCAACAAAUACAUACAAUGCAUGCACCUAUGUAAGCGAUAUCAAGCGGGAAGCAUCGGCGGAUGGUGGAGUCAUAGAUGCAUGACUCCACCCACCAGGAUUGAAAUCCUGAUACCCACAAACAUUAUACACACAAGUGGACUUUCAAUAGAAAUUUAGUGAGAUCAAAAAUAUAUCGCUGGUCUCCAUCCCUUUGAGUAUGUGUUAGACGCGUAUUCGAGGAUGUGUGAGUGCGGUGUUGCAUGUGAAGUAGUGACGUGUGUGUGCGCGUGUAUUCCUGGAAUCACCGAAUGUAAGAGAUGUUAAAGAGUGGAGGAUUUAACAAAAAUGAAUUUAGAAGAAAGAGAUAUGCUAGUUAAUUAUGUGUGUAUAUAUAUACAAUUCUACAUCGUAGAGCACUAGUUAAUCGUAGAGCACUAGUUAAGUCAUAUUUUAAGGUAAAGAGGUAAAGGGAGUAGUAAUUAACUCUUAGUUGCACUAAUUAACUAUCGCAAACCAGCACUAGCAUAUCGAUCUACUACUACUGAUGAAUAUAAUUACACAGAAGACGACGACUUCGAAGCUCUCGAUCCCAUCGCAGCUGACUUUGACACAUUCAAACGCUCUUGUCAGUGACAAACUCGACCACGCACAGAACAAAAGGAAAUAAGAACGCACAGCCGAUGGAGAUGCAUGGUUGGCUGCAUGAUCUGCAUGCGGAGAUUGAGGCGCUGACAUAAUCAUUUUACUAAUGUUCCCUGUUUUAAAAUAUAUGAAAUAUUUUGUUUUUCUAUAUAUAAAGCUUUAACCAAAUUUAAUCUGUAAUAUACUCCCUCGUUUGAAAAUGUAAGGCACAACUAUCCUUUUAACACUAAGACUAAAAAUAAUUAUUGUCACCUUAUGUAGAUCACUCUAAUAAAUACAAUGUAUGUACCUAAUAAAAUUAGAGAUCUUGAAGGAUUUUAAAAAUAAUAAUUUAGUGGAGAGGAGGUGCUAGUUAAUUGUUUAUAUGCAUGCAUGUCUUAUGUAUAUUAUGAUGAAAUAUGUGAAAAAUGUAGUUGUGUCCUUAUAUUUAGAAUUAAUGGAGGGAGCGUUAUUUAUGUGAUAAAAUGCCUAAUUGUAAGAACUUCUAGAUACAUGUAUAUAUGUGUACGAAAAGAAGGCUUGCGACUAAUACACGCGUACAUAAUAAUUAGGGUGAAUGUACAUUAGUUUGUACCACUGGGUAAAAUAAACGGAAAUUGCAGAUCGAUCGAUCGUCUGAAUGACAAAAUAAAUCACUAUAUACAGUUAAACAACAUCAUGCCUUACCGUAUAUCUGCUUCAAUUAAUUAGCUGUUUGAUGAAAAAAAAUCAGUAAUCAAUAGUGCUUCAAAUAUUAAUCUAUCGCCCUAGUACAUGCCAAUGCUUCAAUACGUGGGGUGGAUUACUGAAUACAAUUCUAAACAUUAAGCAACGAACAAUACUGUGUGCAAAAAACCGUGCAAGUAUGCCCUGUAAACAACGUUUUCCACUAUAAACUAUACACCAUCCUUUGUCAAAAUCCCGGAAACUGCAUGGCAUUGCAAGCUAGAUAAGCUUGUAUUAUCCUGAGUAAGUACUGAGCAAUUGAUUAGCACUUACAUAAGGUGUGUCCUUGCAUGUGAAAGUCAAGAUUGGAGAACCACAUGCACGCCAGCCAUGUCCCACGCCUAUGUCAUAUAAAAGAGUACAAUAAGUAAUAUAAAUGGGUUUUAAAAAUUAUCACAUCAGAUUUAUAUUUAGGUGAAAAAAAAAAGAUAGAGAAAAAAUGUGCUACUACAUAUUAAUUUAUAACCAGUUGCAGCACGGGCUCAUAGACACUAUGCGUGUAUGAGAGGUGGGUCAGGAAUUACUAGUGUAGUAUAUAUUUACCAUAUAGAUUGGCUAUUAGAUUGUUCGUAGAUGACGUGUUAAUUUUUUGAGCUUGUAGUUGUCUAUACCAUUGAACUUCUUCUAAGGCCAUGUCCAAUGCUUCUACGUGGAGUGUAACCCCAGGUCACCAUGUAGGAGCUGAGUUCCCUUUUCAAACCAGUACCAUGCUCUUGUGAGAAAACACAUCACCUCUGCAAGGACCCUCAUGCUUCAUAUCCGCCUCGUGAAACCACAGCUUGUGGCUCUGUGUUUGGGUGAGCCCGUGGCCCCACCUCAUGGUCCACACAUGUCCCCCACCCCAAACGUUGCCUGAGAGGUGGUGGCCAAUUGAGAGAAAGUGGCAACAUAGCUAACAGGACAAGCAAGAGAACAAGCGCAACGGAGAAAGAGGGGAAAAGAGCCUACUACCACACAUGCAUAUCAUGCAACCAUAUGCAUUCAUCGAUAUCAAGGCCGCCUCCUCGAUCGCCUCCGACGUUUCUCUGCUUAGGCUGCCCGCCAGCCCUAGAGCUUGAUGGUGGAGGAGGAGGAGGGAGCCUCCUUGACCACCGUUGUGGCAUCAUUGACCACCGACAUGGCUGGAUCAUCGACCUAUUCGCCAUUGGUUGGCACCCUUCUGGGGUGGUGAAAUGAGAAGGGGAUUCGGAGCAGAGCUAUGGCCUCAAUAUGCAAAGCUGGAGAGGGGAGAGCAGAGUGGAGGCGUCGCCGCUGCCAGAUCUGCACCGAUCUUGCGAUGGUGAUAUGGGAGACACCAGAUUUGGAAGAGGAGAGUAGGGGUGCCGUCGCUGCUAGAUCCACACCGAUCUUGCCACUGGGGACAGAGGAGACACAUCUUUGUUAGCCUCGUCUGCCAGAUCUACUCCGACGGAGGUGACUGGAGCAUGUUAAUUUAUACAUGGAUGUGGAUGUAGCAUAUGUUGAUCUUCUGAUGGAACUAUUGUCAUAUGUUUUUUUUAGAAAGUUACUAUUGUCGUAUGCUGUUGUGUUAUUGUUGAACUGCUUGCAUGUUGAUCUCUUUUCUUGGUCAAGUGAUAUUCUGAGUUUCUGACCAAACAGAGGAAAUUUGUUGUACAUCCUUUCUGUCAUCUGGCCAAUCAGUGAGAUCAAAUUGAAAUCGUGCAUUUUAUUAACAAUGUGCAUAUAUAUCUCUGUUACUCAGUACCUUCAGAAAACGCAAGAAAUUAAAACUCCUGGCAGGACACAAGGGACAUUGAGUAGAUAGAACAAAACGUAUGGGUGGUACAUAGGCCACAAUUGGCUGAGACAAGUGGUGGCAUGCAUGGCCAUUUGUUGCGUCGGAUGCUUCAUCCUUGUGUGAUCUAACCAACCAAUGCAACGCUCUCUCCCUUUGGAUGCAACAGCAUGCAUGUUUUUAGCUAAAAGUCUUGUGUAAAUAUGUUAUGUUUCUUAAUUCUUACGUGUUUUCAGCUAGCAUAAAGACAAUGACUUUUGCGUGUAUUGGUAUAAUAGACAUCCUCAGUGUAUAACCAUCUGAUAGAAUAGCAAUGUACUCUAAACAUACAUAGAUCUCCUCGUUAGUGACACAGUACUAUAUAUUGAAUUUUACAGAAACAAUGAAGCCCUUUAUUUCUUGUAGAACAACGUAUGAAACAAGUACAAACAAAUGAUAACGAAUUAUACUUCUAGACAUUACAUGAGAUGGUAGGCUCCAUUUCUUUAAUUUCCUUUACGAAGGAAAUUAAGGGUUCGCAUCACCGUACCCAGAUCCAGAACCCGCACCAACGCCACGGCCACCAUAUUGGCCUUGGCCGUUACCACCACCAUUGCCACCGGCAUUUGCGUUUGCAUAUGGUCCACUCCAGUAGUUAUUAGCCUCGCUAGAGCCUGAGCCGGUACCGCUACCAGACCCAUGACCAUACGAUGGCCAAUAACCACCGGCUUGUCCGGCACCGCCACCAGCACCAGCACCGCCAGCACUGGAUGACCCGCCAUAACCAUAAUAUCCAUUUUGAGAGGUCUGGCUAGAGCCUAAGCCCGUGCCAUAUCCGCUACCAGAUCCUGAUCCACCGUAUUGACUGUAACCACCACCUCCGCCGCCACCUCCACCACUUGCAUGGGCACCGUAAUAGUUACUGCUACCAGACCCAACCCCACUUCCUUUCCC
Molecule: long non-coding RNA, 5124 nt
Filed under: Oryza sativa (Asian cultivated rice)
Lineage: Eukaryota; Viridiplantae; Streptophyta; Magnoliopsida; Poales; Poaceae
Description: long non-coding RNA (OSAT_LNC001861)
Source: RNAcentral